UUCCAUAUAACAUGUGUCAACAUGGGC
Molecule: non-coding RNA, 27 nt
Filed under: Bombyx mori (domestic silkworm)
Lineage: Eukaryota; Metazoa; Arthropoda; Insecta; Lepidoptera; Bombycidae
Source: RNAcentral